GCCCUUAAAGAGCCAGUGCCACCCGGGCACCCGCAGCCCUGGCCUGGGCCGGUCCCCACAGUGCAACACCUCCCGCCGAGGGCUUGGACCGGGAGCCCUGAGUGUCCGGAACACGGACUGUUACUGGACCUAACGGAAGACUGCCCCGACCCGACGCAAGGGCUGUGCGGACCGAUCGCACACAGAGCCGUGCUCGUGGAGUGCUGCCAGGGUGCAGAUUUCAGUCCUCGCACGUAAAUGCCAUCGGAAAACCCUCCGAACAUCAUCUCCCCUCCAGCCACAGGCCCAUCUCCCUCUGCCAAUCUUCUGGUCUUGAUGCACCGUUCUUUCAUCACUGGAUUCAAGUCACUACUAGUCUGGGAUUUUUCCAUGUCUGCGCUGUGGGACACUGGCACUGAGCAGCCCACAACAGACCCUCGUGUACUCUGCGGUCUCACGCCUCUGAGGACAGACGGACCGACCAAGGCAGAAACCCGAACAGGAGCGUGCCGCAGCGGCGUUAGCAGGGGUGUGCGGCGGGUGGGAGGGGCCGCCAGCCGGGCAGGGCCGCAGGGCCGCGCACACUUCCUGUCUGUGUUCGCUUCCUUGGUUUUGCCUUUAAAAGUUCAUUCUGUUUUAAAGAGGUUUGCGUUGGAACGCUUGUUUUAAACAAGGGGGAAACGCCUUCCACGUGUAACACUUCUGGGUCUUUCUUUAGUGAAGAUCAGUUUCCACCUGGUGUCACUUUCCUUGGGCCCAGACAUUUCUUGUAGGGCAAGGCUGCUGGAGAUUCCUUCAGCUUUCAUUUGUCUGGAAAAGGAAGGUCGACUUUGACUUGACUUUUGUAUUGUGAAUGGAGAAUGUUAAGCUGACCCGUUUUUCCCUUUCAAUCCUUUAUAAAGAUGUCACGCAGCACUGCC
Long non-coding RNA from Suricata suricatta (meerkat), 899 nucleotides. RefSeq lists it as uncharacterized. The transcript is spliced from 4 exons. Lineage: Eukaryota; Metazoa; Chordata; Mammalia; Carnivora; Herpestidae. The record is from RefSeq and is a predicted model, not a curated record.